UGCAAGUCGAACGGGGCCCGCAAGGGUUCAGUGGCGAACGGGUGCGUAACACGUGAAGAAUUCUCCUCUACGAAAAGGGGAUAGCCGGCCCAACGGCCGGGUAAUACCGCGUACGACCUUCGGGGGGCAUCCCCUGAUGGUGAAAGCCGCAAGGCGCCGAUGGAGAACUUCGCGGCCUAUCAGCUAGUUGGUGAGGUCAUGGCUCACCAAGGCGACGACGGGUAGCUGGUCCGAGAGGAUGACCAGCCACAUUGGGACUGAGACACGGCCCAGACUCCUACGGGAGGCAGCAGUGGGGAAUAUUUCGUAAUGGGCGAAAGCCUGACGCAGCGACGCCGCGUGUGGGAUGACGGCCUUCGGGUUGUAAACCACUGUCGCGAGGGACGAAGAUCUGACGGUACCUCGAAAGGAAGCACCGGCUAACUCUGUGCCAGCAGCCGCGGUAAUACAGAGGGUGCGAGCGUUGUCCGGAAUCACUGGGCGUAAAGGGCGCGUAGGUGGCCCGAUAAGUAGGGGGUGAAAUCUCGUGGCUCAACUGCGAGGCUGCCUCCUAAACUGUCGGGCUUGAGCAGAGUAGAGGCAGGUGGAAUUCCCGGUGUAGCGGUGGAAUGCGUAGAGAUCGGGAAGAACAUCGGUGGCGAAGGCGGCCUGCUGGGCUCUUGCUGACACUGAGGCGCGACAGCG
This 684-nucleotide ribosomal RNA is filed under the name uncultured Gemmatimonas sp. Its description in RNAcentral is "bacterial SSU rRNA". It matches the Rfam family "Bacterial small subunit ribosomal RNA", at positions 56 to 761 of the family's 1533-position model. Lineage: Bacteria; Pseudomonadati; Gemmatimonadota; Gemmatimonadia; Gemmatimonadales; Gemmatimonadaceae. The record is from RNAcentral.